GACGAACGCUGGCGGCGUGCUUAACACAUGCAAGUCGAACGGAAAGGCCCUGCUUGCAGGGUGCUCGAGUGGCGAACGGGUGAGUAACACGUGGGUGAUCUGCCCCUUACUUUGGGAUAAGCCUGGGAAACUGGGUCUAAUACUGGAUAGGACCAUGCUGUAGGUGGUGUGGUGGAAAGAUUAGUUUCGGUAAGGGAUGAGCUCGCGGCCUAUCAGCUUGUUGGCGGGGUAAUGGCCUACCAAGGCGUCGACGGGUAGCCGGCCUGAGAGGGUGGACGGCCACAUUGGGACUGAGAUACGGCCCAGACUCCUACGGGAGGCAGCAGUGGGGAAUAUUGCACAAUGGGCGCAAGCCUGAUGCAGCGACGCCGCGUGGGGGAUGACGGCCUUCGGGUUGUAAACUCCUUUCAGCCAUGACGAAGCCCUUGUGGUGACGGUAGUGGUAGAAGAAGCACCGGCUAACUACGUG
Molecule: ribosomal RNA, 469 nt
Filed under: uncultured bacterium
Lineage: Bacteria
Description: partial 16S ribosomal RNA
Rfam family: Bacterial small subunit ribosomal RNA
Source: RNAcentral